AAACCAAACACACAGCAGAAUUUUAUAGGACUGUAGUAGUUUUUGUUAGGUUGUCAAAUUAUUUUAAGCUCAAAAUUAAAGUAAUUAAAUCUGUGACUCUCAACUGGGGGAGGUGGGCACACACAGAGAGGGGAAGUUAAAAUCCUUUUUUUCUUCCAAACCUCACACAGACCCACUCGGCUGGUCAUUCCCAUUGCUGGAAUUAUGUCCUGUUCCUUAGGUUAAAAACAACUGCCUUCAUGCCUAUUAAAAAUAAUGUUUCUUCCUUUCCUGAGUGAUUGUGAAAUGAGCCAUGGUGGCAAGGUAGGCACGAACGAGGGAAACUGAGUCCAUGCCCACAUUUGAUGGUGGGCAAGAACAGAAGGAAAUUGGGUCCAUACCCACAUUUGAUGGUGGGUGAGAACAGAAGGUAACUAGGUCCACAUCUAUAUUUGAUGGUGGGCAAGAACAGAGGGAAACUGAAUCCGUGUCCACAUUUGAUGGUGGGCAAGAACAGAGGGAAAGUGUGUCCAAGUCCACAUUUGAUGGUUAGCAAGAACAGGGGGAAGCUGGGUCCACGUCCACAUUUGAUGGUGGGAGAGAACGGGGGAAACUGGGUCCACGUCCACGUUUGAUGAUGGGCGAGAACACGGGGAAACUGGGUCAACGUCCACAUUUGAUGAUGGGCGAGACCAGGGGGAAACUGAGUCCACAUCCACAUUUGAUGGUGGGAGAGAACAGGGGAAAACUCGGUCCACGUCCACAUUUGAUGGUGGCUUUUAAUGCACUGCAGCCUGUGUCCCCUUGACCUUCACGAAUUUUCAGGUAGUAAGAAAGCAAUUUUUCUUACUGGAAAGGAGAAAACUAAGUGGCUGCAAAGUAAUAUAAUUUCCUUAAAGCAAAACAACAGAGAACCAACUUUGACUUUUUCCACAUUACCCAGUAAUUCUAAGACUAAGGGUUUUGUCAUGUUACAGCAAAUGCCGUUCAUUAGGGGGAAAUUGGAAGUCAGAACAGUGUGUGCUAUUCAAAUUCUCAAUGAAUAAUUAACUCAAAUGGGUUCAGAGUGCUACAAAAUGAAAUUAAUUUGUUUUUAGUUUAACCCCAAAUCCCCAAUCCCUUGCCAAAUGAUCCGCUAUGUAUCCUACAUAAAGACAGGGUCUUUCUGGCAGAAAACCAUUAAAAGUUUUUAUUUGCAGUAAGAGAAGCAUGCCUUCUUAUCAAACAGGUGCAUGGCCCCCUUGCGGGGGGGUCACCCAUCACCUGCAUCCCCGUGUGUCACGGUGUUGCCGCACACCAUUAACGCAUCAAAAUGGAAAAGGAAAUGUAAGCAGUGUUUGCUGUCCAAAGUUCACGUCAACAACUCCUUAUUAUGAAGGCACUUCUGAGCCUUUCCUCCUGCAUCUGGGAGCUGCCAGCAACCCAGUUCCAGGAGAGAAAAUAGCUCGACACCUCCUGCAGCCCAUGGAGUCCUCUUGUUGGGACAAGGUCCCCCCAGGAGAGAGGAGCCCCCAGCAGGGUCAACACUGGAGGGUCAGGGACCACGGAGCCCGGGGCUGUGGACCACACCAGCCCACGGCCACUGUAUGCCCCAGACCAACACGAGAAGAGUGCAGACCAACAACAUCUUCGUCUACGGUAGGUGUCACGGUUAUCGUUCCUAAGAGAGUCCACGGCCACUUCUACCAGGUGCCCUCCAUUCUUCCCCUGCCCCAGCUGGUCCCCCUGUGACAGCCGUGUCUCUGAGAACGGGGUGUGGAGCCAGGGGGAAAACACAAAAUAAACCACCUGCUACUAGAAACAGCCUCGCUGUCCUCAGGGAGCCGGUCCCGGGGCCAGCCUCGCUGUCCUCAAGGAGUCGAUCCCGGGGCCAGCCUCGCUGGACUCAGGGAGUCGGUUCCAGGACCCCAUGGACACCAAAUCCAGGCACAUUCAAGCCCCACAGGUGGACCUGCCGAACCUGCGUGUACAAAGAGUCGGCCCUCCGACACGCGUUUCACAUGGCAGGAACGCUGUAUUUUCUGCGUGUACAAAGAAUCAGCCCGCCAACAUGCGUUUCACGUGGCAGAACACUGUAUUUUCUCCCUGAGUUUGGUUGAAAAAAUCCACCUAUAAGUUGACCCGCAAAGCUCAAGCUUGUGUUGGACAAGAGUCAACUGUAUGCAAUUGACACUGAUUCCUACCAACAAUAUCCAAAUCUUAUCAUGACCAGCUCGAUAAAGAGAAUGAGCAAAAUUUAAAAACUAAAGCAGAGUGUUUUCCUGCGAGUUGGCGCACUGCGUAAGCCCUGUGGGAAAGACAACACUGGCUGCUGACCAAACUCCAUCGGCCUCUUCCUCCGUCCUGAGGGCAUCUUCCUCCAUCCUGACAGCAGCCUGGGCUUACCUCAGUCCCAGGGCGGGGGAGGAGGACGCACUGUGCACCCUCCCAGCUCUCCUCCGCCCCUUCCCUCAGGCUGGCCCAAGAGCAGCCUGGACAGUCAGGUGCUCAGGACACCGAGCUGCCCCUCCUCGGCCCACAGCCUCAGGCCACCUGUCUCAUCUGUGACUGAGAAACAGCUGCAGCUGGAGGCGGGAGGCGGGACAUGCUGGGAUCUACCCAUGGCCAGGCCGAGCUGCUCUGAUCACUCAAGCUUCACUUUCAUCACUUGCUCUACCAAAUAAACAAGAAUAAAGUACGCCACGUCCUCCUUUGCACACACUCCCAAGCCUCCCAUCCCACUUCCCAGCGCUGACCCCAUAAGAACACUUUCUGCGCCUUUCCAGGUAUUUUCUAUCCUCCUCAAGCACAGAGCCACAUUCAGAGUGAAUUUUUUCUUUUUUUUAACAGAAAUGGCACCAGGGCAGAUAAUGUUUUUUUGUACCAUUUCUUUAGUUUCUUGGGCAUUUUCCGCACCAGGACAGAUGGGCUCUGCUCUCCUUCCUCCCCACCGAAGGCUGCCUCACAGCAGCCACACACAGAGCCGUAAGCCCUCGCAAGACUGUGGGUGUCUCGGGGUGCCCCACGUCCCCAAAGACCAAGGGGUCACAGAUCCACACUGUCCAACAACACUUCAGACAUGGCCUCGAGCCUGGGAACCCUGCUGGCCAGCCCAGGCCAGCAACAGAAUAGAGGUGUGAGAGGUAACAUUUGCACUUCUUAAAAAAAAAAAAAAA
This is a non-coding RNA of Macaca mulatta (Rhesus monkey), 3134 nucleotides long. NCBI's taxonomy places the organism in Eukaryota, Metazoa, Chordata, Mammalia, Primates, Cercopithecidae. The record is from RefSeq and is a predicted model, not a curated record.